RNAcentral lists this ribosomal RNA (500 nucleotides) under Eimeria mayurai. Its description in RNAcentral is "SSU rRNA". It matches the Rfam family "Eukaryotic small subunit ribosomal RNA", at positions 581 to 1083 of the family's 1831-position model. The record is from RNAcentral. Lineage: Eukaryota; Apicomplexa; Conoidasida; Eucoccidiorida; Eimeriidae.
AAUUCCAGCUCCAAUAGUGUAUAUUAGAGUUGUUGCAGUUAAAAAGCUCGUAGUUGGAUUUCUGUCGUGGUCAGCCGGCUCCGCCUGUAUAGGUGUGCGCCUGGUUUGCCCUCGGCUUUUUUCCGGUGAAUCCAUCCGCGCUUAAUUGCGUGUGUUGGAGUUCUGGAACUUUUACUUUGAGAAAAAUAGAGUGUUUCAAGCAGGCUUGUCGCCCUGAAUACUGCAGCAUGGAAUAAUAAGAUAGGACCUCGGUUCUAUUUUGUUGGUUUCUAGGACCAAGGUAAUGAUUAAUAGGGACAGUUGGGGGCAUUCGUAUUUAACUGUCAGAGGUGAAAUUCUUAGAUUUGUUAAAGACGAACUACUGCGAAAGCAUUUGCCAAGGAUGUUUUCAUUAAUCAAGAACGACAGUAGGGGGUUUGAAGACGAUUAGAUACCGUCGUAAUCUCUACCAUAAACUAUGCCGACUAGAGAUAGGGAAACGCCUACCUUGGCUUCUCCUG